AUAACAAUACAGGACUCUUUUGAGGCCCUGUAAUUGGAAUGAGUACACUUUAGAUCCUUUAAUGAGGAUCUAUUGGAGGGCAAGUCUGGUGCAGAGCGACUGACCAUUGUGUGCUGCAGCUGAAACACCACUAUCUCCUG
Molecule: non-coding RNA, 140 nt
Organism: Pelobates cultripes (western spadefoot toad)
Lineage: Eukaryota; Metazoa; Chordata; Amphibia; Anura; Pelobatidae
Source: the annotation of a GenBank genome assembly